This 731-nucleotide ribosomal RNA is filed under the name uncultured bacterium. Its description in RNAcentral is "bacterial SSU rRNA". It matches the Rfam family "Bacterial small subunit ribosomal RNA", at positions 771 to 1501 of the family's 1533-position model. The record is from RNAcentral.
AACAGGAUUAGAUACCCUGGUAGUCCACGCCGUAAACGAUGUCUACUCGGAGUUUGGUGUCUUGAACACUGGGCUCUCAAGCUAACGCAUUAAGUAGACCGCCUGGGGAGUACGGCCGCAAGGUUAAAACUCAAAUGAAUUGACGGGGGCCCGCACAAGCGGUGGAGCAUGUGGUUUAAUUCGAUGCAACGCGAAGAACCUUACCUACUCUUGACAUCCACGGAAGAGACCAGAGAUGGACUUGUGCCUUCGGGAACCGUGAGACAGGUGCUGCAUGGCUGUCGUCAGCUCGUGUUGUGAAAUGUUGGGUUGAGUCCCGCAACGAGCGCAACCCCUAUCCUUAUUUGCCAGCACGUAAUGGUGGGAACUCUAGGGAGACUGCCGGUGAUAAACCGGAGGAAGGUGGGGACGACGUCAAGUCAUCAUGGCCCUUACGAGUAGGGCUACACACGUGCUACAAUGGCGAGUACAGAGGGUUGCAAAGCCGCGAGGUGGAGCUAAUCUCACAAAGCUCGUCGUAGUCCGGAUUGGAGUCUGCAACUCGACUCCAUGAAGUCGGAAUCGCUAGUAAUCGUGGAUCAGAAUGCCACGGUGAAUACGUUCCCGGGCCUUGUACACACCGCCCGUCACACCAUGGGAGUGGGCUGCAAAAGAAGUGGGUAGCUUAACCUUCGGGGGGGCGCUCACCACUUUGUGGUUCAUGACUGGGGUGAAGUCGUAACAAGGUAACC